AUGGCGUCUAUAGGCUUUAAAGGUGCAAUGUUGGUGAGCACCACCUCUAAGGAGUGUCGAGACAGCGAUGCAGACCUGGACGUGGACGGAGAUGACACUCUGGAGUACGGCAGGGCUCAAUACACAGAAACAGAUGUGAUUCCCUGUUCGGGAGAAAGCUCCAAAGAGACAGCAGUGAAGUACGUAUCCGUGAUGUGUGACGAUCACUCAGUAUUCAUUUACAUAUUUGAUAAAUAUGAGCUAAAUUCAUUUCAAAGCUGUUUCAGUUUCAAAUGCUUUCAGAUGGUAAAUAUACUUUGGUUUGUUUCAGCAGCAGCAGCGUGCCGCCUGAAUCCAGAGUAA
Molecule: long non-coding RNA, 342 nt
Filed under: Oreochromis niloticus (Nile tilapia)
Lineage: Eukaryota; Metazoa; Chordata; Actinopteri; Cichliformes; Cichlidae
Description: lncRNA (ENSONIG00000028407.1)
Source: RNAcentral